AUUGGGCAAAUGAGGAAAUCCAGAUAAUAUUUGGAUAAUUUGCAUCUGAAUUCUUUUUGAUGCUAACACCUUGGAGAUCUGAUGCUUAUU
RNAcentral lists this small nucleolar RNA (90 nucleotides) under Amborella trichopoda. The record is from RNAcentral. Lineage: Eukaryota; Viridiplantae; Streptophyta; Magnoliopsida; Amborellales; Amborellaceae.